Echria macrotheca is the source of this 123-nucleotide non-coding RNA. NCBI's taxonomy places the organism in Eukaryota, Fungi, Ascomycota, Sordariomycetes, Sordariales, Schizotheciaceae. The record is from the annotation of a GenBank genome assembly.
GGGCGGGUAGCGUAGUGGUCAGCGCGUUCCUAAGCGUUUCAGCGUUGUUUUCUUCACCAUUGAUUACCUAUGCAUUACUCCAGCGUUUAGCGAAAGACCUGGGUUCGAAUCCCAGCCCGCCCA